Microplitis mediator is the source of this 386-nucleotide long non-coding RNA. RefSeq lists it as uncharacterized. The transcript is spliced from 3 exons. NCBI's taxonomy places the organism in Eukaryota, Metazoa, Arthropoda, Insecta, Hymenoptera, Braconidae. The record is from RefSeq and is a predicted model, not a curated record.
UCAACGCUCCCACGUAAACCAUUUUUCGAGCAUAAAAAAUCCUUGUUCUCACCGAUCGGUACCCAGAAGCUUCUAAAAAUUCAGGGGAACACUAUUGAAAAUAACUAAAAACCAAAAUGUUACGAGUUAUAUUAUUAUUAACAAUAAUUUUAUUCAUUGGCUGCUUCCAUGUCGUUGUAGGUGGAUGUGAUGGUGAUUGGUGUAAUUCAGGCUACCCUUGUCUCUGUUUGGGUUACAAAUGUAGCGAUUCUAAGGACGGUGAAUGCGUAGAAAAUUGAAUCAUAAAAAAGUAAACCUGAUUGCCUCUGGAAAUAAAGUUAUACACGUUUGCUGCUAGAAAUAUACUACAUAUUUAAAAUAGUGAAUUUUUGUUGCAAAAAAAUGUC